Molecule: ribosomal RNA, 253 nt
Filed under: uncultured bacterium
Lineage: Bacteria
Description: partial 16S ribosomal RNA
Rfam family: Bacterial small subunit ribosomal RNA
Source: RNAcentral
UACGGGGGGGGUAAGCGUUGUUCGGAAUUACUGGGCGUAAAGGGCUCGUAGGCGGCCAACUAAGUCAUACGUGAAAUCCCUCAGCUUAACUGGGGAACUGCGUGUGAUACUGGAUGGCUUGGAUUUGGGAGAGGGAUGCGGAAUUCCGGGUGUAGCGGUGAAAUGCGUAGAUAUCUGGAGGAAUACCGGUGGCGAAGGCGGCAUCCUGGACCAUUACUGACGCUGAGACGCGAAAGCGUGGGGAGCAAACAGG